GGUCGACGAGUGGCGGACGGGUGAGUAACGCGUAGGAAUCUACCUAGUAGUGGGGGAUAGCCAAGGGAAACUUUGGGUAAUACCGCAUACGAUCUAAGGAUGAAAGGGGGCCUCUCUUUGAAGCUCUCGCUAUUAGAUGAGCCUGCGUAAGAUUAGCUUGUUGGUGGGGUAAUGGCCCACCAAGGCGACGAUCUUUAGCUGGUCUGAGAGGAUGAUCAGUCACACUGGAACUGAGACACGGUCCAGACUCCUACGGGAGGCAGCAGUCGGGAAUAUUGGACAAUGGGGGAAACCCUGAUCCAGCCAUGCCGCGUGUGUGAAGAAGGCCCUAGGGUUGUAAAGCACUUUUAGUAGUGAGGAAGGCUCA
This 367-nucleotide ribosomal RNA is filed under the name Gammaproteobacteria bacterium. RNAcentral's name for it is "bacterial SSU rRNA". It matches the Rfam family "Bacterial small subunit ribosomal RNA", at positions 86 to 455 of the family's 1533-position model. The record is from RNAcentral. Lineage: Bacteria; Pseudomonadati; Pseudomonadota; Gammaproteobacteria.